CCUGGUGUCUAUGGCGCGGUGGAACCACUCUGAAUCCUUCCCGAACUCAGUUGUGAAACGCUGCUGCGGCGACGAUAGUUGUCGGGUUGCCGACCGUCAAAAUAGCUCGAUGCCAGGU
Hapalosiphon sp. MRB220 is the source of this 118-nucleotide non-coding RNA. The record is from Rfam. Lineage: Bacteria; Bacillati; Cyanobacteriota; Cyanophyceae; Nostocales; Hapalosiphonaceae.